RNAcentral lists this long non-coding RNA (1436 nucleotides) under Selaginella moellendorffii. RNAcentral's name for it is "long non-coding RNA (SMOE_LNC000869)". Lineage: Eukaryota; Viridiplantae; Streptophyta; Lycopodiopsida; Selaginellales; Selaginellaceae. The record is from RNAcentral.
CAGGAAGGAACGGUGACUGAAAAAACAGAUGUUUUCGGCUUCGGGGUUCUGCUGCUCGAGAUCAUAACAGGCUGCAAGAACAGGAACCUCUCAGGCGAUUACCUGAAGGACUACUUGUUGGUUAGUAACAGAAACGGUAGUGCCGCUGCUCACCUCUCUGAAGAAGAGAACGAAAAGGAAAGAUUGAAGAAUGUUGCGGCGUUGUGUGUUCGAGACGAUCCAAACUUACGGCCCUCGAUGAGCAAGGUUAUACAGAUGAUGGAAGGAGUUACCGAGCUGCUUCAAGUACCUUUGGAAUCGGAGCUGAAUUUCUUUUUCGCUUACAGACCCAAAGAUCAGCUUAGCAGAACCGCAGCCUCGAACGUGAAUUAUAGGAGUUCUGAUAAGUUGCUGAACUCAUCUUCCUCGUUUACUGCCUUCUCACAAUCUAGCCUGAAUGCCCGAUGAAAUUAUACGUUACAACAUUGAACGAAAAAUAUACCUUCGUUGAUUCGCUACUGCUGAAACUGUUGCGCUAAGCCAAAAACAAUGUAGCUGCAAUAUCAUUGAAUCAUCAACCUCCAAAGAAGAACAGUUAUAUCUUCUCCUAUUUGAGUUCCAGAUACUCAUAAAGGAAAUUCGUCGUCGAAGUCUGUAGAAAAAUCGUCAAUCAGUACGUGAUUCAAAACUAGAAAUUAUAAGAAACCGUUUCGAGCUUCGGCUUUCAGCAAUAGCAGGCUACAAAAAGAAAAACCUCGCGAAAUAUCCUGAAAAGCUCCAUCAGGAACACAAGAAAAGAGAAAGAUUGCCAAUCGUCAUUGCAAUGUGGGGUAAAAAGGCAAUAUUGAGCUUAAAAUCGCAGGUGAUCUUGAGAGAAAAGGAUGGAGCUCCCUCAUAAGAGUUUCGAAAAGAUGCUGAAACUAUCAAUAUCGUUCAAGGAUUUGCCACAACACGAGUCCAUCUAGAGCACAAAAAAAGGAAUAGCAAUAUUCUUAGCUUGAAGACCAAAAUUUACCAAACGAUGGACAGCGUCUCCCUGGAGCUAACACAGUUGGAGCACAACGUAAGCGCAUCACAGCACACUCUUCCUCUAUCAACGAACAGCGACCAAAGUGUGAGCGUCCAUCUAAAGCCAAAGGAAUUCUUUGUCUAGGCGAAAUAUAUCUCAGAUUUCACGGAUCUUCUGUGACGAGCUCCAGCGCCAAGAAAAAGAAAUCGCGCCAUGGCAUUGCAUUCUACAAAUUGCGAGGUUACUCAGCCGCAAGAAUCGAAACUGGAGAAAGCAAACUCAAUGAAUGAAACAUCACCUCAAAGAUCCACCAAAAUGCUCGAUCAAUGCAACAUUGCGCCGACCUCCACGGAAAUGCGAUGUUAAAGCUCUCGAUCGGCAGAAAUCCAUGAGCCAUUCAUAAACCCUAGAACACAAACCCACUUUAAGAGGCCUUAACAGGUCCCGC